AGCAGCCGCGGUAAUCCCAGCUCCAAUAGCGUAUAUUAAAGUUGUUGCAGUUAAAAAGCUCGUAGUUGAAUUUUAGGCCUGACCGGGCGGUCCGUCUCCAGCGAGUACUGUCCUGUUGUCGGGUCUAUCCUUCUGGUGAGCCGAUAUGUCCUUUAUUGGGUGUGUCGGGGAACCAGAACCAUUACCUUGAAAAAAUUAGAGUGCUUAAAGCGAGCUUUUGCUUGAAUAGAUUAGCAUGGAAUAAUAAAAUAGGACGUUGGUUCUAUUUUGUUGGUCUAGGACCACCGUAAUGAUUAAUAGGGAUAGUUGGGGGCAUUAGUAUUCAAUUGUCAGAGGUGAAAUUCUUGGAUUUAUUGAAGACUAACUACUGCGAAAGCAUUUGCCAAGGAUGUUUUCAUUAAUCAAGAACGAAAGUUAAGGGGAUCGAAGACGAUCAGAUACCGUCGUAGUCUUAACCAUAAACUAUGCCGACUAGGAAUCGGGCGACGUUAUUUCAAGACUCGCUCGGCGCCUUAUGGGA
This 520-nucleotide ribosomal RNA is filed under the name uncultured Glomeromycotina. RNAcentral describes it as "SSU rRNA". It matches the Rfam family "Eukaryotic small subunit ribosomal RNA", at positions 569 to 1095 of the family's 1831-position model. The record is from RNAcentral. Lineage: Eukaryota; Fungi; Glomeromycota.